GAGCAAGGAUGAUCUGUGCUGUUGCCUGACUUAAAAUGAAGGCUUCUACACUUGAACUGAGCUCA
Molecule: small nucleolar RNA, 65 nt
Filed under: Nothoprocta perdicaria
Lineage: Eukaryota; Metazoa; Chordata; Aves; Tinamiformes; Tinamidae
Description: Small nucleolar RNA U2-30 (ENSNPEG00000012603.1)
Source: RNAcentral